GGGCUGGAAGAGGAGCAGCCGGGACUAGAACCGGCGCCCAUAUGGGAUGCUGGUGCCGCAGGCGGAGGAUUAACCUACUGCGCCAUUGCGCCAGCCCCUCAAUAACCUCUUACAAGCCUCAAUUCCUAAUGCUAUCAGAAUUUAAAUAAUAGCACUGGCUACAUUCAAAUCGUCCUUACGUAUUUUCCUCUGGAAGGAGGAGAGAACUUUCACUUUGCUUAUGGCCUUGUCUAAAUACUGAAGGAGUUUGUGGAUUCAAAAGGCUCCUAUAGCCUUGGUAGCUCAUGUCAAAAGCCUCAUGUGAUCAGUGACAUCAUACAUAAGAGUGUUAAUUGUUAAAUUAACAACAGGAGUCACAGUGCACUAACUUCCCAGGCAGGAUCUCUGUCCUCAAAGAGUUGCAUUAUGAGAGUUAAUAGUAAAACUUGUUCUCAAAGAUUUACUUUGUAUUAGUGUAUUAAGUGGAGGAUAUUCUUAUGUCUCAUAAGUUAUAGUUUCAUCUAAGUGCUGGCAAAAGAUGUAUCAUUCUUGGGUUCUUCUUUAUUUUAAAAAAUAUGUUUAUUUAUUUAUUUAUUUGAAAAGUAGAGUUACAGACAGUGAGAGGGAGAGACAGAGAGAAAGGUCUUCCUUUCGUUGAUUCACUUCCCAGAUGGCCACAACAGCCAGAGCUGUGCGUCUUCCUGGUCUCCCAUGCGGAUGCAGGGGCCCAAGCACUUGUUCCAUCUUACACUGCUUUCCCAGGCCAUAGCAUAGAGCUGGAUUGGAAAAGGGGCAGCUGUGACCUGAACUCACGCCCAUGUAGGAUGCCGGCACCACAGGUGGAGGAUUAACCUACUGUGCCACGGUGCCAGCCCCUCUUGGGCUCUUCUUUAAAGUUAAUUAAGGAGGCUGGUGCUGUGGCAUAGCGGAUAAAGCCACUACCUGCAGUGUCAGCAUCCCAUAAAAGUCCAGUUCAAGUCCCAGCUGCUCCACUUCUAAUGCAGUUCUCUGCUAUGGCCUGGGAAAGCAACGGAAGAUGGCCCAAGUCCUUGGGCCCCUGCACCCAUGUGGGAGACCCAGAAGAAACUGUUAGUUCCUGGCUUUGUAUUGGCCCAGCUCUGCCGGUUGAGACCAUUUAGGGAGUAAACCUGCAGAUGGAAGACUUUCUCUCUCUCUCCUCACCUCCCUCUCUCUGAAACUCUGCCUUUCAAAUAAAUAAAUCAAUCUUCUAAAAAGAUUUUUAAAAAUAAAGUUAAGUUUCUAAAAAAAAAAAAAACACUUAAAAAAAGAAGUGAAAUCAACUUUGAGACGCAAUGACAUUGAAUAGCCCUUGACUCAACUGUUGAGGAAUAUUUUUUUAUUCACACAAUUUGUUGAACCCUUUACUUAGUAUAAAGUUAAUCUUCUGUGUAUAAAGUUAACUGAAAAUAGAUCAUAGUAAAAAAUAAGACUGGGAAUAGGAGAGGAGGAGGAAGAGUAAUGGGAUUGUGGGUGGAAGAGUAGGUACAGUGGGAAGAAUCACUGUGUUCCUAAAGUUGUUUUUAAGAAAUGCAAGAAGUUUGUAUUACUUAAAUAAAAGAUUUCUUUGGGGAAAAAUAUGAACUGAAGAACCGUGGGAUAUGUUAGUGUAAUGCUUUCUUGGGAGGGACUGCCCUUUGUAGCUACAUUAUAUCUUUACUUCUUUUUUGACUUUAAAAAUGUUUCUUUAAAAAUAAAAUAAUGGUGACAGAAAAGAAAAAAACAUUUUCACUAGAGACACCUGGAUCACAAGCAUCCCUCAUCUACCCCUUCUUUGGGGGACAUUGUAAUGUAUGCUACGGGACGGUUUAAUCAAUGAUCAUUUUGUAAGCAUUUAUUAACACCUUUUUUUUAAUUGUCCAAGUCAACUAGGGAUUAUGAAGAUAAAAUGGAAUAACUAGUGUUCUAUAAUUUGAGUCUUCCAAUAUCUUCUUCCUCUAGCAAUUUCAUGGACAUCCAGCGAAACAUACAGUUCAUCCUCCUCCAACACAGGCUCAACUCUUCAUGGUGAUGUCUUCACCAGCACAAGCAGAACAUUUUCGGAAGUUCCCACAACUGCCGGGGGAUCUACUAAAAAUAAUCGUAUCUAUAUCACUGGUAUUGAGCUUGGUAGACCUGAAGAUGGGAUAUCCUGGCCGGUGAUCGUUGCAUUUUUGCUCUUUUCUGUGUGAUAUUGUUUGGUCUUGGAAUAAGAAAAUGGUGUCAAUACCAAAAGGAAAUCAUGGAAAGACCCCCACCUUUCAAGCCACCUCCACCUCCAAUCAAGUACACCUGCAUUCAAGAGCCCACUGGAAGUGAUCUGCCUUAUCAGGAGAUGGAGACACUCUAGUCCUUUGAGACUUUGUCAUAUAGCGAAAUUCUCCUGGAAUACUAUCGAGAAGGUAGAUGUUAUGCUUUAUGAAUAUAAUUGCCCUCCCAGCCAAGCCUCUGCUGCAGAUGGGAUGCAUGUC
Molecule: non-coding RNA, 2447 nt
Organism: Oryctolagus cuniculus (rabbit)
Lineage: Eukaryota; Metazoa; Chordata; Mammalia; Lagomorpha; Leporidae
Source: RefSeq, a predicted model, not a curated record